Molecule: long non-coding RNA, 6327 nt
Organism: Ictalurus punctatus (channel catfish)
Lineage: Eukaryota; Metazoa; Chordata; Actinopteri; Siluriformes; Ictaluridae
Exons: 2
Source: RefSeq, a predicted model, not a curated record
UUACAGGUAAUAGUGUAAAAAACAUACAAAAAUCAACACCUACAUUUAAACAUGGAGCAUAUGUGCUUUUUUAGUCUUUCUUGCUAUCCUGACAUGCUUCACUAGCUUAUUGAUUCAGAUCUAAAAAUGGACAAAUUUCUCUGUCCAUCUACUUUUUCCUUGACAACACUGAGUGACCCAUACUCAGUGGAACAGUAGAAGUCAAAUAAAUAGAAAAUUCAGCAAAAUAUCUAUUAGGGGUCAAGCCCGUUGUUGUUGUUGUUGUUAGGGGACAAGCCAAGGAUGGCCCUUCUUCGUCGCCGUCUUCUUCUUCUUCACUUUUUUAGAUGUUGCGGCCAUCCAAUUCAAAAUUACCUUAUUUAUUUUUAUUAAAAUUAUGCAUUUACUCAAUUUAAACUAGGGAUGAAAUGGUUACUGGUUUCACGAUAAAUUUCCUUGAUUUAGUAUUACUGUGUCAUAAUGACAUUAUCAUUAAUACUGUGCACAAUUAUCGUGAUUUGUAACACUCACGGUAAAUGCUGUCCACACACACCCAGCAUGGGUCUGACAUGCAACAUUAUUUUUUGAGCAUGAAAAUUAAAAACUGAACGCAUCUGCUCAAUUCAACAUGAGCCGAAUGAGUCAUUUCAUUUAUCAUGUGAGGCAAGCUGACUGACAAGAUAAGCGAUUAAUAUAAGCGAUUUUGUCAUUGUAUUGUUUUAUUGUUGUGUUUUUCAUUAAGAAUAAUAAUGAACCCACCAUUAAAGCAAUUGCCGCCCCUGAAUUGCUGCUAAUUCGAUAGUGAAAUGCGCAUGGCUGCACGAGCAUUCAUACUUGAUUUAAAAGUGAUGGUGGAAAGACUGGCAUAAAGUUGGCUUGAUGUUGGACGUUCAAUAUUCGCAAAUUAAGGGAUCGCCUCUAAAGUUACAUAUGACAUUGGUACACACAUUUCUAACUCCAAUAGCAUUUGAAGAGAAUGACUUUGUCAUAAAACCAACUGAAAUUGUUCAGCUAUAAUGUGUAGGUGACUGCUAUAACGCACACUUUUUAUUUUUUUUUAUUUAUUUUUUUUAUAUUCAAUAAAAUAAACGAUCAGAUAUAUGUAAUAAAUUGUGAUGUUUUUAUACUGUAUGAAUUCGUACAUAAAAUGUACCAUAUUUUAAAGCUCAACAGCAUUUGAAGAGAAUGACUUCGUUACAAAACCACUUUGGAGGUUGGAAAUUCUCCUGAGCGCUCUAACAGCCUUCCACCUUGUUCACUAACUGAACUAAAUGAUUAUUACUAUAAAAACGCAAAACGACAGUGGGGGGCGGUGCUGCGGUGGGCAAGUGAGGUAAUCGGUGUGCAGCCGAACACAGACACUGAUUAUCGCAGCAAGCCUAGUGACAACCAUCUAUCACUUUAUAGUCAAAUAUAAAACCUGUUUAAAUGACUUCAAUGUGUAUAUCAGUGCUUUUUAUACAUUUUCAGCAUAUUUUAACAAUACCGUAAUACUGAUAACUGUGAUAGUUUUGGUCACGAUAAUGUGCUAUGAAAUUUUCAUACCAUUACAUCUCUAGUUUAAACAUUUGAUAUGUUUUCUGUGUUCUAUUGUGAGUAACGUGAGGUUUGAUAUUUGCAAAUCAUUGCAUCCUGUAUUUAUUUACAUUUUACACAGCAUCCCAACUUUUUUAGUAUUGGGCUUGUGUUAAAUACCACAAAGAGGAUUGUAACCUGCAGACUUUACAAAGUGGAGCUUGAGUAGCAAAGAAACAUGACACUGAUGCACGAGCACAAACUUGUUUAUAUCUAAAAUGCUCCACGGUGUGCAAGGGGUUGGGCAUAUUGGUGUGAGUUGCUUAAGUUUUAGUUUAAUUCAAGUUUAUUGUCAUUAUAUGCUGUAUUUGCAUGCUUGCAGUGUAAAUUCUGUUGUUGAUUAUAACAGGAGUGAUCUAUUUGUAACAAGGCUGAGUUGCUCACCCCUUGCAAAGUAGACGCGGUGAUAAAACAGUGGUAGCACAAGUACGAUCUGUAAUAUCAAAGUAAACAUAAGGCAGAGUUUUUAUUAUUCAGUUUGGAUUGUAGUUAAAUUCAGUGUUUUUUAAUUUUUUUUGGUGCAUUCAUUUAAAAAAAAAAAAAAAAAAAUUUAUAAAUAAAUACUUAUACCCCCAUGGGGACCUGGGAUAGAAUAGGUCCCCAGCACCCCCUUGCUGAUCGUAAGAGGCGACAAAUGGGGCAACUUGUUUGCUGUGAGUUGCAACCCGUUACUGUGGAGGAAGAGGUCCUGUGGCCACACCAGGUCCAACACAGUGGACCUUUGGCUCAGACUUCACCAAGAUGGGCGGUUGGACAGGCCCGGUAUAAUCGAUGGGCUAGUCAAGUCUUGUCCUGGAGGGUGUUGGCGUAGGGUCAAUCGGGUAAUAUGACCUUAUAGUUCUCUGUUCGAGUAUAUCCCCCUGUAUCCUUGGUACAUCCCCUUGUUUGGCUCCAAGGCGGUUGGGUGAGCUACACAGAAGCACAUAAAAUGGUUGACAAAUCACCACCCUUUAAUUCAAGGAAAUCAUAUGCAUUUGUGGUAAACCCACCAUGAGCACCACCGAGAAUCAGACAGAUUUACCUUGAGUGAAUAACGAAAAACCACAACAAAUAAUAAUAAUAAAAAAUAAUAAUAAAAAAAGCUCUACUCCAUCUAAAAAGAAGAUUCAAAGCACCCAAUGACAAAUGAUUGCAAAACAGUUUCAAGCUACUGAAGAUCAGAGUACAUCAGCUGAACAUAAUCAAAGCUCAAGAGGGAAGAAGACACAACAUAGUGCAAAAACUAUCAAAUAUAAAUCAAGAAAAGAGACCUCAAAAGACGUAACAACCAAAGGAUUUUUAAUAACAGAAAACACAAUUUCUCAUAGUUGUAGCCUAUCUCCAAAAUGCAUAAGCAAAGGGCAUGUACUACUUCUACCUACCUGAUUAUGAGCUACAGUACAUUCGGAAAGUAUUCACAGCUCUUCACUUUUUCCACAUUUUGAUAUGUUACUGCUUUAUUCCAAAACGGAUUAAAUUCAUUAUUUUCCUCAAAAUACUACAAAACAAUACCCCAUAAUGACAACAUGAAAGAAGAUUGUUUGAAAUCUUUGCAAAUUUUUUUUUUUUUUUUUAUAAAUGUUCAGAAGUAUUCACUCAAAACUGAGCCUUUGCUCAAAACUUUGUUGAAGCAGCUUUGGCAACAAUUACAGCCCGAAGUCUUUUUGAGUAAGAUGCUACAAGCUUGGCACACCUAUUUCUGGGAAGUUUCUCCCAUUCUUCUUUGCAGGACCUCUCAAGCUCCAUCAGGGUGGAUGGGGAGCGUUGGUGCACAGCCAUUUUCGGAUCUCUCCAGAGAUGUUCAAUCGGGUUCAAGUCUGGGCUCUGGCUGGGCACUCAAGGACAUUCACAGAGUAGGGAUGAUAUUUGCCAGGUGAUGAGUGGUGCCUGGUUUCCUCCAGACAUGACUCUUGCCAUUCAGGCCAAAGAGUUCAAUCUUUGUUUCAUCAUGGUCUGAGAGUCCUUCAGGUGCCUUUUGGCAAACUCCAGAUGGGCUGUCAUGUGCCUUUUACUGAGGAGUGGCUUCCGUCUGGCCACUCAACCAUACAGGCCUGAUUGGUGGAGUGCUGCAGAGAUAGUUGUUCUUCUGGAAGGUUCUCCUCUCUCCACAGAGACAUGCUUGAGCUCUGUCAGAGUGACCAUCUGGUUUUUGGUCACCUCCCUGACUAAGGCCCUUUUCCCCCGAUCGCUCAGUUUGGCCGGGCGGCCAGCUCUAGGAAGAGUCCUGGUGGUUCCAAACUUCUUCCAUUUAUGGAUGAUGGAGGCCACUGUGCUCAUUGGGACCUUCAAUGGCGCAGAAAUGUUUCUGUACCCUUCCACAGAUUUGUGCCUUCAUCCAACCCUGUCUCGCAGGUCUACAGGCAAUUCCUUGGACUUCAUGGCUUGGUUUGUGCUCUGACAUGCAUUGUUAACUGUGGGACCUUGUAUAGACAGUGUGCACCUUUCCAAAUCAUGUCAAAUCAACUGAAUUUACCACAGGUGGACUCCAAUCAAGUUGUAGAAACAUCUCAAGGAUGAUCCGUGAAAACCGGAUGCACUUGAGCUCAAUUUUGAAUGUCAUGGCAAAGGCUGUGAAUACUUAUGUACAUGUGCUUUUUUUUUUUGUUUGUUUGUUUUUUAUUUUUAAUACAUUUUGCAAAGAUUUCAAACAAACUUCUUUCACUUUGUCAUUAUGGGGUAUUGUUUGUAGAAUUUUUAGAAAAAUAAUUAAUUUAAUCCAUACUAGGAAAAGGCUAUAAUGUACCAAAAUGUGGAAAAAGUGAAGCGCUGUGAAUACUUUACGGUUGCACUGUACAUCAUCCAGUGGAGCUGUCUUGGGAUAGAAGUAAUUCUGCAAAAAUAACAGCACUUAACAGCUGUCUUAACCCUACUGCCUUUUGUCUUCAAGAGACUCAUCUGGCUCAAUAGCCGUUUCUUUUUAAAAAAAAAAAAAAAAGGCUACAUAACAUUUAAUGUGCCUGGCCGAAAUGUACAACGCCCACCAGGUGGAUGAGCCAUUUUGGUAAGGAGUGACAAAGUUAUAUCCCAAUAGGUACAAAUCUGCAAGCUGUUGCCCUCCAUAAAGCUUAUUACCUUGUGCUCAAUUUACAUACUCCCUGAUGCUUCUGUAGCAUAAUGUGACCUGGACAAUCUGGCUAACCAGUUGUCACUCCCAUACCUGCUCAUGGGCGAUUUUAACAGUCACAGUUCUUUGUGGGGAGGCAGCCAUACAAAUUGAAAGGGGAAACAAAUCGAGGCAUUCAUUUAUAAUAAUGAUUUGUGCUUACUAAAUGAUUGCUUCUACACUACACCCAGGACAUGGAAUUUAUUCUGCUAUAGAUCUUACUAUGUGAGCCUGAAUACUACUUGAUUUCUAUUGGAAAGUAUGAGAUGACCUAUGUGUGAGUGACCACUUCCCUGUGAUAGUAAAGUUUACUGAAGUGGAAUUACAACAAAGAACCCCAAGAUGGCUAUUAAUUAAAGCUAAUUGGUACUCCUUUCAGUCACUCUGCCAUAAGAAGUUCAGUAUUCAAGCCCGAGGAAUUCAAGAACCUAUCAAGAGUUUCACUGACGUUCUCACUGGUCUAGCGGAAGAAUCAGUUCUAAAAACAUCAGCAAAGCCAAAUUGUAGAACUAACCCAUGGUUUGAUGAAAAUUGCAAAAAAAGCUAUUGGAGAUGGGGGGGGAUACAGAAAGGACUUUUAACAAAGAUCCCACAAUGGAAAAUCUAAUCAGAUUGAAAAUCAGCAGAGCAAAAGCACAAAAAAUUAUUAAUGAAGCAAAGAGACAGAGCUGGAAAAGAUAUGUUUUAAGUCUAACCUCACAAACGCCAACAAAGAAAAUAUGGGACAUGAUCCGAAAGAUGGAGGGCAAGGAAGGCAGAACCCAAAUACAACUCCUCAAGAAUCGAGGCUCUCUACUAACCACAAAAAAGAAAUAGCUGACAAGUUAGCAGAGACACAUGAGAGAAAUUCUUCAGUGGAGAACUGCCGUCCUGAGUUCCAAAUGAUACGGACACAACCUCCUUUCAGUUAACAUGAAACCAUAUAACCAGCCUUUUACAGUGGAGGAACUCUUAAAAGCCGUAAUCUGCCCUAACGAUACUGCUGAUACUACAAAAUUCAUUACCAGGAUUUAAAACAAUUACCCCCAAAGCAUUCUAUCAGUCCUCUUGGACAGCUUUAACACUAUCUGGAAGUCAGGAGAUGUACCAUCCUACUAUAAAGAGGCAAUAAAUCAUACCUAGGUCUGGAAUAAUGCGUCGACGUAAUUGAUUACAUUGACUAUGUAAAUUCGUCUAUUCGCCGGGAGUGCGUCCAUGUGUCACGCUGUUUGCAUUCAUUCCUAAUGUUGGCAGCUUCAGCUCCGGGCAUGCUGAUAAUCAGGCAUUAUGCCAAACAUGCAGAACUCUAUCAAAAGUGUGGGGGUUUUUAAAAGAGAGACUGAAUAAAAUGGUGCUCUGCACACUGUGUAAAACUGAAAUGGCAUUCCACAGUAGCACAAUGGCUAUACAUGAACAUCUCAAAAGAAAACAUCCUGGGGCUCUAAGAUCUCAAAAUGACGAGACAACAACGAAGAGGCAAAGCUGUGUCAGAUUUUGUUCAUAAAAAGGAAUCCACUGUAUGCGCCCUCCACAUGGCCGCUGGGCUUACUGAUGGCAUUCUCAACAUGACUGUCAAGGAAAGACUCCUUUCUACUGUGGACGGUCAGGGCUUCAGUGAGCCCUGGAUGAGGCUUUAUUUUUUUAUGUUGGAAAUUUUUAUUUGUAUAUUUGUUUAAUUGAGAGAAUAUUUGAAUAAAAUGUUGACAUAUUAA